AUACGGAGGGGGCAAGCGUUAAUAGGAAUUACUGGGCGUAAAGGGCGCGUAGGCGGUCUAUCAAGUCAGUUGUGAAAUCCCACGGCUCAACCGUGGAGGUGCAUCUGAAACUGAUAGACUUGAGUAUGGGAGAGGAAAGUGGAAUUCCCGGUGUAGAGGUGAAAUUCGUAGAUAUCGGGAGGAACACCAGUGGCGAAGGCGACUUUCUGGACCAAUACUGACGCUGAGGCGCGAAAGCGUGGGGAGCAAACAGGAUUAGAUACCCCAGUAGUCC
RNAcentral lists this ribosomal RNA (274 nucleotides) under uncultured bacterium. Its description in RNAcentral is "partial 16S ribosomal RNA". It matches the Rfam family "Bacterial small subunit ribosomal RNA", at positions 523 to 796 of the family's 1533-position model. The record is from RNAcentral.